This 84-nucleotide transfer RNA is filed under the name Coccomyxa subellipsoidea C-169. RNAcentral describes it as "tRNA-Ile". The stretch from base 1 to 74 matches the Rfam family "tRNA". From Rfam's summary of the family: Transfer RNA (tRNA) molecules are approximately 80 nucleotides in length. Their secondary structure includes four short double-helical elements and three loops (D, anti-codon, and T loops). Lineage: Eukaryota; Viridiplantae; Chlorophyta; Trebouxiophyceae; Coccomyxaceae. The record is from RNAcentral.
GGGCUAUUAGCUCAGUUGGUUAGAGCGCACCCCUGAUAAGGGUGAGGCCGCUGGUUCAAAUCCAGCAUAGCCCACCCCCAACAC